GCUGGGCGUGGUAGUGCACGCCUGUAGUCCCAGCUACUUGGGAGGCUGAGGCAGAAGAAUUGCUUGAAUCCAGGAGGUGGAGGUUGCAGUGAGCUGAGAUCAUGCCACUGCACUCCAGCCUGGGCGACAGAGUGAAAUUCUGUCUCAA
This 148-nucleotide non-coding RNA is filed under the name Nomascus leucogenys (northern white-cheeked gibbon). The record is from Rfam by way of RNAcentral. Lineage: Eukaryota; Metazoa; Chordata; Mammalia; Primates; Hylobatidae.